AGGACGAACGCUGGCGGCGUGCUUAACACAUGCAAGUCGAGCGAACCUUCGGGUUAGCGGCGAACGGGUGAGUAACACGUGGGCAACCUGCCCCGAGCUCUGGGAUAACUCCGGGAAACCGGGGCUAAUACCGGAUAUGACCCGAGAAGACAUCUUCUCGGGUGGAAAGUUUUUUCGGCUCGGGAUGGGCCCGCGGCCUAUCAGCUUGUUGGUGGGGUAACGCCUACCAAGGCGACGACGGGUAGCC
This 247-nucleotide ribosomal RNA is filed under the name uncultured bacterium. RNAcentral describes it as "partial small subunit ribosomal RNA". It matches the Rfam family "Bacterial small subunit ribosomal RNA", at positions 26 to 288 of the family's 1533-position model. The record is from RNAcentral.